Long non-coding RNA from Chlorocebus sabaeus (green monkey), 1293 nucleotides. RefSeq lists it as uncharacterized. NCBI's taxonomy places the organism in Eukaryota, Metazoa, Chordata, Mammalia, Primates, Cercopithecidae. The record is from RefSeq and is a predicted model, not a curated record.
UCCUGUCUUUUCCUUCAUAUACUCACCUAGAGCUCUGUGUAGCAUUGCAAAGACCCUUCCAGUGUCUUGUCCAAGCCCAUGCAUCAACUCGACUUAUACUCUUUCAUUAUCAUGGCAAUAGGAAGUGGGAAGUUUAGAAGGAAGAAAAAUGGGAUGAGGGAGGGAGGAACAGAGAAGGAGUAGCCAGGAAGAGGUAAUCACAUCAGAAUAAAAAAGUUCAUUUCACUGAUGAGGAAACUGAGACUGAGAAAGGAAUGUGACUUACAUAAGUCACACAGGAGAGACCAGAACCUUGUUUUCUGACCGCUGACCCUAUGCCUUUCCACUGUAUCGUGAAUAUUUCAGCAAGUGUAUCUGCCACACACAGAAAAAAACAUACUGGUUCAUUUCCAAAGACAGCAACCUCAUUGUCAGGGUCAUGGGUUGAAAUUUAAAGAAUUAUUCCUGAUUUAAACACAGCCUUUCACUUGGAGCAAUGACUCAGGCUAAUUUUGCAGGCGGCAUGUUUUCCUUUGAGAUUUCUCACCCGAUCUGUUCCCCAUCUCCUAGAUUGCAUAAGGGUAACGAUGAAUUCCUUGACUGGAUCCCAACUUCCCGAGGCUCAAAAUAAUCACUGUUCUGUUUUCCAUGGGAGAUGAAGAUAUAUAUUAGGAUUUUAACAGUCUUUGAAUAUUCACUUUCAAAACAGGAGACAUCCGUGGCAGGUGGGGCUUGCAAAUGAUAUUUCUAAUCAGAUGUUCAUCCAGAAAGUAAUUAACUUUAGGAAAGUAAAGGCCCUAGAGGCUUCUGAAAAGAUUUCCUUACUCUCUGCUCUCCCUGAGCAUUGCUUGAUCUUUGCCUCCCCCUGAGCUGCAGAGCCCAAAGGGAAGAUGAGAAGAAAGUCCUGCUGAUAUGGAUGCAGAUCACAUUUGGGUGACUCAGAGCUGUGGGCAGCCCUGGGCAGGAACAGGUUGGGGAUGACUACCUCCCACUGGCAAAUGCAGAACUUGGAAGAAGGUUAAGUGAUUCCCAAGCCAACUACUUAGUGAUCAAGACACUCCUAGAACUCAGAACUUCUGACUCCACCACUGGAGCAUCGUACCUUGUGUUUUAGAGAACAGAAGGCCUUACGUCGGUGGUCACUGUCAUUUUUGGUUCCAACCUGAGCCAAAGGAGUUGAAGCUGGAAACAGGUGGAAUGGGGACCCUCUGCGCUUCUGGGAAAUCUCACAUCUUUCGUGGAGUCAGAUGGAAGACAAAAGAGAAGCACACAAAGUAAAGGCCAUGUGAAGACACAGAGAGAAGGCAGCUGUUU